Molecule: ribosomal RNA, 468 nt
Filed under: uncultured bacterium
Lineage: Bacteria
Description: partial 16S ribosomal RNA
Rfam family: Bacterial small subunit ribosomal RNA
Source: RNAcentral
GACGAACGCUGGCGGCGUGCUUAACACAUGCAAGUCGAACGGAAAGGCCCUGCUUUUGUGGGGUGCUCGAGUGGCGAACGGGUGAGUAACACGUGAGUAACCUGCCCUUUACUUUGGGAUAACUGCAGGAAACUGGGGCUAAUACCGGAUAGGAGCUCCUGCUGCAGGGUGGGGGUUGGAAAGUUUCGGCGGUUGGGGAUGGACUCGCGGCUUAUCAGCUUGUUGGUGGGGUAGUGGCUUACCAAGGCUUUGACGGGUAGCCGGCCUGAGAGGGUGACCGGCCACAUUGGGACUGAGAUACGGCCCAGACUCCUACGGGAGGCAGCAGUGGGGAAUAUUGAACAAUGGGCGGAAGCCUGAUGCAGCAACGCCGCGUGCGGGAUGACGGCCUUCGGGUUGUAAACCGCUUUCGCCUGUGACGAAGCGUGAGUGACGGUAAUGGGUAAAGAAGCACCGGCUAACUACGUG